GGAGGUCAAUUAAAGGGAACUUUGAAAGUUUUCAAGAGAACUUCAUCAGUAGUGAGCUUCUACAAAGUCACAGAAAGAACAGAGAGAUGUACCUACGGCUGGUGUACAUUAGGACGGAGCAAAGUAAACUGUUGAAGAAUCUGGAGAAGGAAAUCCUUAAGAGAAAGAAGUCCAUCUACAAUUCUGUCAGUGAUUCAAUCAAGGACACCAUGCAGUCGACAUAUGAAGAAUGUGUUGGAAUCACUGGAAGAUCUGCUUUCACUGAAAUUCAAGGGAAGCUAAAAAAUAAAAUUGAAUCUUCCAAAAACACCAUGUUCAAAGAGGCCAUGGAAAGGA
Molecule: long non-coding RNA, 336 nt
Organism: Megalops cyprinoides (Indo-Pacific tarpon)
Lineage: Eukaryota; Metazoa; Chordata; Actinopteri; Elopiformes; Megalopidae
Exons: 3
Source: RefSeq, a predicted model, not a curated record